ACCUACGGGGCGCAGCAGUGGGGAAUAUUGCACAAUGGGGGAAACCCUGAUGCAGCGACGCCGCGUGAGUGAGGAAGUAUUUCGGUAUGUAAAGCUCUAUCAGCAGGGAAGAAAAUGACGGUACCUGACUAAGAAGCCCCGGCUAACUACGUGCCAGCAGCCGCGGUAAUACGUAGGGGGCAAGCGUUAUCCGGAUUUACUGGGUGUAAAGGGCGCGCAGGCGGUUUAAUAAGUCAGUGGUGAAAACUGAGGGCUCAACCCUCAGCCUGCCACUGUUACUGUUAGACUUGAGUAUGGAAGAGGAG
RNAcentral lists this ribosomal RNA (305 nucleotides) under uncultured bacterium. Its description in RNAcentral is "bacterial SSU rRNA". It matches the Rfam family "Bacterial small subunit ribosomal RNA", at positions 337 to 659 of the family's 1533-position model. The record is from RNAcentral.